UCUCCCGCUUCACCUCCCUGAGCGGGUGCCUUAAUCCAGUUAAGGCGUUUGACCCCGGGCUUUAUCCCCUUUAGCCCGGGGUUUUUUAU
The sequence is a small RNA, 89 nucleotides long. It matches the Rfam family "Burkholderia RNA 7 (anti-hemB)". Rfam says of the family: This RNA motif was identified by computational search in b-proteobacteria Burkholderia. The record is from Rfam.